CGGAGGAUCCAAGCGUUAUCCGGAAUCAUUGGGUUUAAAGGGUCCGUAGGCGGUUUAAUAAGUCAGUGGUGAAAUCUGGUCGCUCAACGAUCAAACGGCCAUUGAUACUGUUAAACUUGAAUUAUUGUGAAGUAACUAGAAUAUGUAGUGUAGCGGUGAAAUGCUUAGAUAUUACAUGGAAUACCAAUUGCGAAGGCAGGUUACUAACAAUACAUUGACGCUGAUGGACGAAAGCGUGGGGAGCGAACAGGAUU
This 254-nucleotide ribosomal RNA is filed under the name uncultured bacterium. RNAcentral describes it as "partial 16S ribosomal RNA". It matches the Rfam family "Bacterial small subunit ribosomal RNA", at positions 526 to 779 of the family's 1533-position model. The record is from RNAcentral.